This is a transfer RNA of Moniliophthora roreri MCA 2997, 103 nucleotides long. It matches the Rfam family "tRNA". From Rfam's summary of the family: Transfer RNA (tRNA) molecules are approximately 80 nucleotides in length. Their secondary structure includes four short double-helical elements and three loops (D, anti-codon, and T loops). NCBI's taxonomy places the organism in Eukaryota, Fungi, Basidiomycota, Agaricomycetes, Agaricales, Marasmiaceae. The record is from Rfam.
GCUCGCGUAGCUCAGUGGUAGAGCAUUGUACUUAUGAGGUUACCUGAUUACAAACCUACGCAUAGGAAUGCAAGGGUCUCCGGUUCAAUCCCGGGCGUGAGCA